This is a long non-coding RNA of Heterocephalus glaber (naked mole-rat), 25805 nucleotides long. NCBI's taxonomy places the organism in Eukaryota, Metazoa, Chordata, Mammalia, Rodentia, Bathyergidae. The record is from Ensembl.
UUUUAAAAUUCUGUGUUGGGAGCAAUGCUACAUAAUUCUAGGGAUAAAUCAUUUGGUUAGCCUAGUUCUCUUGCCUACAGCCCAGCUACAGAAUAACUCCAGUUUGGCCUCCGGUCACAACUGAGACUUCAGUGAUCCAGUGAUGCUGUGAUUCUCCAGGACAAGAAACAUCCUGGGAGAACAAACAUCUGCUCAGUUCCUCAUUGUUCUUGGACUGAUUAACAUCUCGUUUACCGGAGAUGUACUGAACUCUCUGCAAGCCUUCCGUUACACCUUGUUUAUCCCAAUGUGAACUAUUGAACUCUCUGCAAGUCAUUUGUUACAUUUGUUUCUCCGGAUGUACUGAAUAAAAGGUGUGGUAAGCUGGGGGCUUUGUCUUUGCUGCCCAGAGCAGCACUCAUCAGAACCAAAGCUCAGCUUCUUCUCAGUCUCAUUUUUCUACCUUUCCUGUAAUUCGCUGUGUGCUGCCGUGGCUUGCAGGAGACCAGGACUAACUGCAGAGGUUCUGGUAAUGUCCCCUUCCCCUGUCCCCUACAUUUGGUGCCCAACGUGGAUGUGAAUCGGAUCCAGGGGUGAACUCACCUGUGAGACAAACUUGGAGUAAGAGAGACAGCACACGGAUCUCCCAGGACGAUUUCCGGACUAGGACGAGGGACACCAGUGGUAAGUGUGUCCAGCUGGGGGUAAUUUUCUAUCUUUGCUGAGUUAUAACUAUGGGUCAGUCUCUGUCCACAGAACAGCGUAACUUUGCCAAAUUACUUAAGUUGCUGUUAAAGCAAGCUGUGUACCCAGUACCUAAGGGUGCUGUGAAGAUUUGUUAAAAGACAUGCAAAUGUAUGUCCCAUCUUUUCCCCAGGAAGGGACAGCUUAACUUAAUAUCAUGAGAACGUGUAGGUACCGCUCUCUGUGAGGCCUGGCAAAGGGGUAAUUGCCUCUCCCCUGACCGCUCCCCACUUGGGCCUUAGUCCACUGAGGUCAGAGUUGCUAGCCAUUAUAUUUGUGAUUGAAAACUUCCCUCCCCAACCUCUUAAUAUUUUAAAUGAUUCCUCUUAUACAGUUUGGUUGACUCAAAGACUAAGGAGCAAUGGUCUACUCUACCUUAGAACCUAAAUUAUUAAACUUGUUUUUAAGAUUACAAAAGGCCAUAUGUCAAAAAAUUCCUCCUGCCUUAAUAACGUGGGGGAGAGGUUUCGCCUGUGCCCUAACAGAUAAUGAAAAAAAUCUUGUGGCUGCCCUCCUGGAAUGUGAGACCGUGGGUCACGCUGGUGGAACCGCCAACAUCUCACAGAAUCAAUGAUAGCACCCUGGCUGAAAGCGAUGAGCCAGCUGCACCUCAGGGACCCACCUCACCAGCGACAACCAACAAAUCCAUGGCAGGGUCCAGGACUGAGAUGAUGCCCCCAGAGGAAUGAUAAUUAUAGAUUUAUGGUAAAAAAUUUAUAAAGGUGGGGGACAACUUCAAAAUGCUCCUUUUAUAUUUACAGGUAUAAAAGCGCUUUCAUUCCUUCUGAUUAUAAUCUCGAGAUCUCUGUUAAUUGACUAUUCCAAAGUUUUUGACCAGUCAUACAAUUAUAAAUCUAAUAAUCAUAAAAAGGAUAUUACGAUUCAAUUUGGCUAAAUAUAUUUGCUUGCACUCUGAUUUUGUAAAUUGUCUUAUAUGUUUGUCUGUUGUCUGUUUGUCUGUUUGUACAGUUGAGCUCAAUUUUUUUUUUCUCUUUUUCUUUUCACCUUUUGAAAAAAAAAAUUUUUUUAAAGAUAUUCACCUAUUGUUAAAUUCGCUUACAGGUAAAUGUUACUAAAUUAAAGGCAUGCCUUCCUUCCCAGGUUGCUAACUGAUCAAAGUGCCACUGAGAUUUAUUUUAUAAAAGUAAUGUAUAUUGUCACCUACAUGCAAUAAUCAAAUUGCAAUAAGCAGUUGUAAAAUAGGAAGAUAUAUAUAUUCUUAUUCUUUGUUUGUCAAAAUAGAGACUGUGGGUACUCUCUUUGGUGAAUAAACAAGUGGCCACCCAGAAAAUAAUUAUUCUGGUCUUAAUUCACUAAAGGGACCCCCUAGUAAUUUUUAUAAUCUUAUGGGAGACACACCACAACAAAUAUUGUCUCAAUGUGUUAUUAUAAAUUGAUUACAUUGGUUAUCAUUGAAGUUUAAAUUCUAAAUAUGUUAUAAAUUGAUUACAUUGGUUAUCAUUGAUGUUUAAGCGCUAAAAAUGUGAUUGUAAAAUGUUUACAUUGGUUAUGUUCUGAAUAUGUUAUUGUAAUAUGUCCACAUUGGUCAUCUUCAAAAGCUUAAUUUCUGUGUCAUAAACAAGAGUGUUAUUAGAAAGAUGGUUUUGGUACCAAACCACAGUGAAGAAAAUAAGGUUUUAUGUAACUAUGAUAUUUAUUACUGCUCCUUUUCUGGUGUACAAAAUGUAUUCAUGCCCUCUAAUUGUAUGGGUCUUCUAACAUUGUUUAUGGUAAUAACCUUUUGAUUCAGGUAUUUGCCCUUUUCUUAUGCUCCAGCCACCUAUGAAAAUAGGCACACUUGUAGGUUGAUAUAUUUUCCUUAGAUGAUGUCCUAUAAAAAGAUAGCUACUCAGGGAUCCAACCACAACAGCAACUGUCAUUGGCAAUAAUAACAGUUUAACUAUAUUUUUAUUCCAAAAUGCUUAUCUCCAGGUAAAAUUAUAACAGUUGAGUUCACUACUCCUCUUACAAUGCUAAUGUUAUUGAUCUUCUCUUCUGGGUGUUCAACAACCAAAGUUUAGAGACCAAAACUGAAGAGGUAUUUGGGCUAAGAAGGCAGCCAAUAUUUUGGCCCUGGCCCUCCAAGGUCAACAACAAUAACAAAAAUAUCCAGGAUAUGAGGGAACCAUCUCUGAGAUCCUGCAUUUUUGGUGAGUCAUCCAACCUCCUGAGCAGGGAGGUUGCUGAACACCAAAACAGUAAAGAUCCAACAAAAAGUGUGCCAAAGGAAUGUCACCUGGAGGAAAAAAUCUCCCAUGCUUUCGCAGGAAGCAACAUGGUCAAGCAAGGCCGUGACAUAUCCUGAUGGGUGACACUGACAGAGGAGCUAAGAGGCUCUAUGCGUGGUUCCAAGACAGUGCCUGUGGAGACUUAAUUGACCUUGUUAGAUAACAAGAGAUUGAUUUUAUUUAAUAUAGGUUUCACCGUAACUUGAUCUUAAACACCCAGUAGAAAAGUAUAACUAAAGACAAUAGUUAUUUGAGUUCAACGAAAGUUUUAAGUUUUUAAACCCAAUGUUUAAAAACAAAUUGUUAGAUUUUUUAAUCCUUUUUCAGCCCCAAUUAAGAAAAAUUAUGCUUAUUAUAGACAGCUGAGCCAGUCAAACUAUAAAUCCUCACACUACAUAGGGACAAGCCAUUGUUGGGUGUGCUUGCUUUUCAAUAAAACUCCUUCACAUAAAACAAAAAGAAAGGGAGAUAUGUUGGGAGCAAUGCUACAUAAUUCUAGGGAUAAAUCAUUUGGUUAGCCUAGUUCUCUUGCCUACAGCCCAGCUACAGAAUAAUUCCAGUUUGGCCUCUGGUCACAACUGAGACUUCAGUGAUCCAGUGAUGCUGUGAUUCUCCAGGACAAGAAACAUCCUGGGAGAACAAACAUCUGCUCAGUUCCUUAUUGUUCUUGGACUGAUUAACAUCUUGUUUACCGGAGAUGUACUGAACUCUCUGCAAGCCUUCCGUUACACCUUGUUUAUCCCAAUGUGAACUAUUGAACUCUCUGCAAGUCAUUUGUUACAUUUGUUUCUCCGGAUGUACUGAAUAAAAGGUGUGGUAAGCUGGGGGCUUUGUCUUUGCUGCCCAGAGCAGCACUCAUCAGAACCAAAGCUCAGCUUCUUCUCGGUCUCAUUUUUCUACCUUUCCUGUAAUUCGCUGUGUGCUGCCGUGGCUCGCAGGAGACCAGGACUAACUGCAGAGGUUCUGGUAAUGUCCCCUUCCCCUGUCCCCUACAAUUCUGAUUGCUCAACAUAUACCUCUUCUCUCAUUUUACAGCCCUGCUUAUGAUACUUGUUAUCAGCAGGAGACCCAAAGGCUGCACACCUUCCCUCCUUCCCAUUCUUGUAAUGAAUAAACACUGGACAUCUUUGGUGUUCUUUGUCUUUGCUGUUCAGAGAAGAUCAGAUCAGCCAAAGACCCAACUUCACUGAAGUCUCUGUCUCUGUGUCUUUAUUCUCUCUCUCUUUUCUAUCUCAUGGAUGUCAUACUGGCUCAUAGGAGAUCGAGACCCAUGGCUGGGGAUUUUGAUAAUCCCUCUUAUAGUUUCAGAUUUACUCCCAUGAUAGUAGAUAAAAUAUUCUAUUAUAGGAUGGCUACUGCACUUUUAAAUUACCUUUUGUUUCUAUCAUAGUGUAAGUCCAGGCUGUAUCUGUUUAAUUAAGCAUCAUGUCUACCAUAUUCCUGGGGACUGGUUAGGUGUAAGUACUUAUGCCUUAAUUAAAUGUGUUUGACACAGUCAAUAUGAAAUCUAACAAUGCUGAGAAAUUAAUUAUAAUAUCUACUCUAUUAAUUUAUUUAUGUUUUAAAGAUGUAACUAAGCUUUGGAAGACAUUCAAAUUUUUAAGAUUUAUAAGUCAGAUAUGAAGUUUCCUCUAAAUACAAAUACAAGAAAAUAGUUUAUAAGAAAUAUUAUUUGUUUUUUUUAACAAGUCUUAAUUAAUCUAAGCUUAUGUUUUCUAAAACAAGCCUUAUCCAAAGAAACAAAUGAGUGCCUUUUCUGCUUCAGAAUUUCUUUGUAAGAGAGGCUUAGGCUCAUUAAUCAAUUGUGAAGAAAAACUAGGCUGCUUUGAAACUUUGCUUUCAAAUUAAGCCCUUUUUAAAGGUCUUAUGUUAUAUAUUUCUGUUACUAUUGGCAUAAACUGAUAGAAGUUAUGGAAGGGCAUCCUAAAUAAAAAUGGAAAACCAAACAAAACAAAAAUAUUGGCAGUACACUAUUGUUUUAACUCUUGGGUAUAUAAAAUACAAGCAAUGGCAGAAUUAUGCCAUGAAGUGAGCAUAAUAUGCACCUUGUGGUUAGAAUUUCUGCAUUUUUAUAUGGCUAGAAGCAUAGUUAUUCAAAUAAUUCAAGUCUCAAUUAUUUUUUGAUAACAUAUGCAUGAACAUGUAUAAAAAUUCUACUCCAAUCAUAGACCCUGCUUUGUGCCCUUAUUUCUUACAAAAAGCCCAGGAAGAAGGUAAAAACAAGAGUGCUAUUGGACUUUAUAAAUGAUAAUUAGUAUCAUCUGUUCCUUAACAAUUAUGCAUUUUUGUGUUUAAAGGCUACUAUGAUUUAAUAAUAUUGAGGGCAGAAUUAAAUAUCUUUUAAAAACAUUUAGGUAUGCAAAUUUGAGGUAUGGCCAAGAGCUCGAACAGAUGUUUAAAAUUCUAGCUGAAUCUGUUUGUUCAUUCUAAAUAUGUGUACAUAAUGUAUUGUGUGUGUGCCAUUUUAUCAAGCAUAUUUGCAUGUAAAUGUAUGUAUGGCCCUGAUUCUGCCAUCUUUAAUCAUGCAAAACUACCAGUGGCUUCUGGUGGAAUUAGAGACAUAUCAGUUGGGGCACAAUUAGCCCACAGAGAAGAUCUUAAAAUAGCUAGAGCAACUGUGUCUGUAUUAGUUACUUUUGUCUUUGUUGAAACAAAACACUUGACACUCACAAGUAAAAGGAGAAAAGAUUUAUUUUAGCUCACAGUUUGUCAAGGUUUCAGCCCAUAAUUGCUUGGCUCCAAGGCAGAGGGGCAUCACAGAGGAGAAACAACUCAUGGUAUGGCAGACAGAGGCAGCAAGCAGGAUCAGCAGCAAGCCUGCCUUUCCUAUCUCACUUUAUAUUCCAUCCAGCAUACAAACCAUCCAGGGUAGGACUUGUAUUAUCUACACCCAUUAUCCCAGUAUUAUACCUUUAAUCCACAUUCUCACACCAUAAAUUCAGCUACCUGUGAAAAGCUCCACCUAUGAGUGCAUGAGGCUUUGGGGAAAUAUCUAGCCACAAGACAUACCAGUGUCUGCUGACAAUAGAUAUGCAGUUAUAAAGCAAUGCUUAUAGUCAAAGAUUGACAAGAACUUCAUAAGCCUAAACAGAAGAUUUAUAAGGGAACCUCUGAGGUAUGAUAUUAAUGUAAAAUUAAUAGAAACUUCAGUUCUUUCUGUUGAUUAGUGUCAUGUUAAUAUUUUCAACCUAUUUGUAUCUAUUUUUAGCAUAAAUUUCUCUUGUUCUUCUCUUGUUACAUAUACCUCAUACAUAUAACUCCCACACAUCUCUAUUAGUGAUUUACUUAAUACGAGGAACCCUGACUUAGAGUCCAUCAAAGUACUCAGAUAAUUUCUACUGACAUAGGUAUAUAGUGCUUAUAGAAAAUAAACUAAUGCAUUUUUAAGCUAUUUUUUCCUUAUAGUUCAACACAAUUUUUACUAUGGUAGGUUAAAUUUUUCUGAGUUUCAAUAAACAUUUUGAUGUUUAGUUAAUCUGUACUGUUUAGUAAAAAUUUUAAAGUGGAUCUCUCUUUAUUUGACAGAUUCAAUUGUUUAAUAAAAAUAACUUAGCAAUUUCUGUUUGCUGGAUAUUUUUAUUGAGGAACAUCUCAAUGUAUUUCACAAUAAAUCCCUUUCAUAUAUCUAUAUUAACAUCUAUAUAAAUGUUUUGAUUUUGUAUCUAUGGAGAACCUUGACUAAUAUAACAUUAAAGCAAUUCUUUCUCCUGAAGAUUAUUUAAAUAUAAAAAGCUCUACUAAAUGAAUAACUCUUUCACUAAGAUAAAAUCAACAAUAAAAUUAAACAGCAGGAAAAGGUACAAACACUGCAAGUAGAAACUUGUAAGCUUUGUCCAAAAUAAGUUCCCAAAGAAUGGUAUAUUCUUAAAUUUAUAUGUUAGAAGAUACAUUUGGAAUAUUUCCUACUUGUAUGUAAUAGUGGACUGCUAAGUGUGUGGAAAAUUCAUGAGACUUUUUAUUGAAAGUUACUAUUAAGAAUAAAUAUUUAAAAUUUCUACACUAGGAUAUUUAAAACAGGUUACAUAUUAUAUCUACUUACUCUGUCUAAAAAUCUGUGUAUAUUUUCCCAAAAUGUGUCAAUCUAACCUACACAGCUCUUAUCCUACUACAGUAUAAAAAGUUCAAAAACGAUGAAUAGAGAUAGUAUAGAAAGUACUUAAAGCAGACCAAUGGCUUCAUAAGACUCUUGAAAUUAUAUUGUGCACAUAGGAUAAGAAAUACUAUUUAUUGGGGCUGAGGAUUUAGCUCAGUGGUUUUGCCACCUGCUGCACAAGUGCAAGGACCCGAGUUCGAUCCCCAGUACCUGAAAAAAAAAAAAGAAAAAAAAAGAAAUACUAUUCAUUUGGCAAAUCUUUUAGCGUAAGGAAGAGUAUGUUUGCAUUAAAAUCAAUGUUAAUUAAAAACACCUCUGAAGUGCUUCUAGGAGUCAUGUUUAAUAUUAUUUUAUUUCUGACAAUUGAAUAAUACAAUUACAUCUAAUAACAACAGUAUAAUAUAUUUAAUUUUAACUAACUAGUAGUAUACUACUGAAAUUUUUUGAGACUAAUUCUAUCACAGAUAUAUUAAGAGGCUAAAGUAGUACAAAACAGUUAUUUUGGUUAAGAAAAUUAUUUUCUCAUUCAUUCAUAUAGAUGAAAGAUUAAUAUGCCUAUCCAUCAUAGAAUUACACAAUGAUGUGAUAAUACUAGAGAAUAUAUUAUAAUGUAUAUUAUAUUGCAUACAUAAUAUAUAGUUAUAUAUAUACUAAAUAUCAUACUUGAGAAUAUAUGUAUGAUAGAUUUAUUUCUUAUAAAUAUAGUAUAGAAUAUAGAACAAACCUUUGCAUUCAGGCAUGUCAACUAUGUAUGUACUCCAUCUCUCUCAUAUGUCCAUAUAAAACAGCCUGGAUUAGACCAAAAGAGCAGUGAUCAUAUAGGUAGCUGGAGGCUUCUAAUAUUCCAAAGAUCAAUGGAGUUGAGCAAUGGUAAGUAUACUGUUAAGAAGUUGAAAUCUACACAGGAGCACAAAACAAAAGGUAAUACUUAUUCAAAUAGACUCAAUGCAAUUUAUUCAUCUUUUUAUGUGAAGAGUUUAUGAAAAAAUGACUCAUUUUCUUUUCCUUUUCCUAAAGAAGGAAAAAAUGAAAACAAAGCUUUUGUGAAUAAGGAGGGGAAGAAGGGAUAAAGGGAGGGUAAUGGAAUGGGAAAACAAAAAGUAUCAAGAUAUAUCAUGUACAGGUACAAAUUCCCUGUGAUAAAUGUAAUUUUUAUGUAUAUCUAAAAUGUACCAAUAAGCUUAAUUAAUAAAAAAUGGAAAAAUGACUUUGCCUAUUAUCUUUAGCAGAUACUAAACUAUCUAUUAUUCAGGUAAUUUAUACUAAAGUUAAUUUCACUUUCCCUGAGCUAUUUCAAAGGGCAACUACACUCUCCCUUUGGUGGAAACAGUUUUUGAAAAGCCAACCGUACAGUUAUACAAUAGAUAUCAUUUUGAACUUUUUGGAAUUUAGUUUUAAAACAGCACAAAAAACAACCAUAAAAGGGAAUAAUAAUGUAUUAGAUUUUAGAGGCAAAUAAAACAAGGUAGGGAGAAAAAAAGUUUUGAAAAGUAGUAUAUAAAGAGUCCACAUCAUGUGAGUUUAAACAAGAAGAAAAAUGCACAUUAUUCUUUUGUAUUUUGUGUCUAUAAUACAACAAAAUAUAAUUAACAAUUAAAAAUUGCAUUUGCUUCUCCAAAUUGUCAAUAUUCUAAAUCUGAUAUCUUUUUCAUCAAACAAUCUUUUUUUCACUUUCUUCUUUAUUCAAUAAAAAAUAGACUUUCCAAAACUCACUGUUACUUUUUGAUUUUUCUUAAGUGUGACUGGCCUGAAGGUGGCAUUGUUGGAGUAGAUCAACUCUUUGGUUGAUUCCUGAUGAGAUGUUGUUACAGUAAAUCAGCUGGUGUGAAGAUGGAAACGUUAUACUCUGGACUCUACUGGAGUUCAUCUCUGCUAUUUGUAUUUUCUUGCCAGGAUUUUCUAAACAAAAUUUUAUUUGCAUUGGAGAAUUGGCCAUUUUAUUUCCCAAAUAUUUGGAAUUAAGUGGCAUGGUCCUGGUUUUGGAUUUUCAUCAACCUUAAAUAAAAAUAUUUAUUAGUAUUAUUAGUAUAAGUAUCAAAACAUUUAUUAUUAAUUAAUUAAUUUAUUUAUUUAUUUUGGUUCCAGUGUUUGAACUUGGGUCCUUGUACUUGUGAGGCCGGUGGCGGAACCACUGAGCUAAAUACCCGGCCCCAAAAUAUUUAUUGGUACAUAUAUAUAUGCAUAUAUAUAUAUAUAUAUAUAUAUAUAUAUAUAGCAUUCAUCAUAGGGAAUUUCCUCCUGUACAUAAUACAUCCUACAUUUUUUUCCCAUUCCCUCCUUCCCCUUAGACCUCCUCCCAUUUAUAUACAAAAAUUUUAUGUCCAUUUUUUCCUUCCAUUAAGUAAAAAUCUUGUGGCCCAUAAAUUGUUUCAUUUUUUAAUUGUGGUAAUCAAAGAUAUUAGCAUAUACCAGUUUCAGGCCUUCAGCAAUCUCUACUGUAAGUUAAUAUAUUUUACUCCUAUAUAAUGUGUCUAGGAUUCAUAUCUUUAGUGAUUGCUGCUCCAUUGGUCUUGUAGCAAACCCCAGCCAUGCAUUCUAUACACUCAUAUUUUUCAUUAUUUUGUUCAAAAGCUGAGUAAAAGGAUCAACUAGAACUCUUUUUGCUUUGAUGCAAUAUUUUCAGGGGCAUGUUCCUCAGCUGUCAUUCCUUUUCAGUUUGGUGUGCAUGGUUGCCUGUUUGUACCUUGAUCACCCUUCAGUCUUUCUUCCUCGACACUCCAGAGUCAAGGAAAUUCCAGGGAUCUGAUUUUAAGAAGAGUUCACUGGUUCAGCCUCCUUGGGUGACCCAGCCACUUCAGCUCCCUCUGUGCUACUCUUUUUUUAAAAUUAUUAUUAAUUUUAUUGGUACAAUUAAGGUAUAUUGCUGCUGUAAGAAAUGAGAACCCAGGUGAUCCUGAUAUAGGGGAAGAGAUGUAAUUUCCAAACCUCCUAGAUAUCCAAAACGUGAGUUCCUGUUCUCUAAAAUUGAAGAAUGAAUUCUAGGAACAAUGAAGUUUAAGAGUAGCAAAAAUGUAUUGGGAGAAAGAAAGCUUCUUCCUAAGAGAGAUAGAAGGGGGACUGAAAAGUGGGUUGCCUGCCCACCCCACUUUUCAAAGAUGUUUUAUGCAGUAAAGCCAUGCGGUGAGGUGGGUACGAAGUGGGACAAAACUAUAAGAUCCAAUGGAAAUUUACAAAGUGGGCAUUAGGUGGGACAAAAUCAUGACCAACCAAAAAGAUUGCAAGUACAGUCACCCAGGUAAUAUUGAUUAAAUGGGGAUCAAAUGGGAAGACAAGUCACAUAUAAGGAAUUUCCCAUUUAGAAUAUCAAUCACUGCUAUCUAUCCCCAGGGGAAGUAAUACUUCUUUUCCUUUUUAUAAUGCUAACCAGUGAAUAUGCCUCAAUUGUUCUCCAUGUUGGUUCCUUGCAGUGUUGGCUCCAGGAGGCCUGGUGCCUUAAGGGAGGCCCUGUCUGCCUGACAAUAAGAUAUCUAAUUAACUUACCUAUCUAUAAUAAUCCCACCCAGGGGCCACUUUAUGGACUUCAGCAGCUGUUCAGUGAAACAAUUAAUUUCAGCAUUACAGAGUUGUAUUAUUUCCCUAAAAUGGUGAUUACAUUCUUUUCUGGUUUUCAUUCAUUUGUUUGAUAGCUUCAAUGACAAAAAAGCAUCAUACAUCUCUUGUUGUACCAUAUUAAAGCCCAAAGUCUUACUGUAGCAAUACUAAAAAUCAUCUGUUUUUGCUCUUCAGUCAGAUUUUACAUCCUUGAAAUAAAUGUCAGAUAACUGUGCCCACAACCCAAGUAGAAUUUUAUUUGAAGUAGAUCCUAAAAAAUGUACACCUUUUAAAUUUCUUCUCAUCUACUUUAAAGGAAUAAGGCAUUUGUACAAAGUAAAAAUACUCUGAAUUGUUUAUCAUGUCCUGUAAGCAAGAAUAAGUCAGUAUAAAUCAAGUGAUAGCUAUGAAAUGUAUAUUUAUUCCAAAAGUUAUCUGGCAAGUAUUAUUGACAAAUAAAAAAAUUUAGCCAUAAAAAGGUAAAAUCACAUACCUCAAAGGGUACCAGUAAGCACUUCCCUUCUCACUUACCUCUACAAUGCCAAACUUGUAAGUGAAACUUAUGCUGUUUUGUUUGACACUAUGUUUUAAACCAUUUCAUUUGUAAAAACUAAAUUCCUAAAAUAUAUAGUAGGUAAGUCUAUACUCUAUUGGCUCAACAAAAAUUAAUUGGAGUUUUCUCUAUGAGCUCGGUAGUAUUCUAAGCAGUAAAGAGGCAUUAAGGAAUGAAAGGGAGAGAAUAUAAAUUUUUUUAAAUUUUAAUAUUUUUAUUAGUACAUGUUUGCAGUACAUGUAGAGCAAUAGAUGUAGAAAGCUGGUACUUGUUUUUUAUACCCUACCCUUCUUUUCCUUCCUUAAUCCUUCCAACACUUCCCCUUCCCAUUUGCAAAAGCUCUAAUUUCUCCUUUAAUUUUCCCAUUCUGUUUUUCUCUCCUCCAUCCAUCUCUUGCUCCACCAUCUACUGGGAAAUAUCUUUUAUCUUCUAUUUUUCUUUCUCUCUCUCUCUUAUAUACUUAUAUAGUAUGUAUAUAUGAGAAAUCAUUUGAUUUUUAACCUGGUUGUCUGACUUAUUUCACUUAAUAUUAUGAUUUCAGUAAAAUAACAGAAACAAACAAUUAGUAAAAUAAAAAGUAAGUUGACUCUGGACAUAUUUUCUAUAAAAAAGAAAGAAAGUAAAAUUGAUAUUUGAUUGAAUUCUAGCUAUUGUAUUGUCAGAAAAAGCUUCAGUGAAAAUAUGCAAAGUAGGAUAAAGUACAGGAGAAACUGUGGCUAUGUAUCAUGUUAAAUUGUGUUCCAAGAAACAAAUACCAUUGUUUUCUAGGAUAUAAUGGCCCCUAGGACAGUAAGCCUCAACUACAUUGAGAUACAUAAAAUGUUGAAAUACAAAAUUUAUUUUAUUGUCACAACAUGGGCUGUGAUUGCUUCAGGUAGUUACUAAGUAGAGGUUACUGUUCCAUAGGACAGGUCCCUACAAUAAAGAAUAAUCCAGCCAUAAUUAGUAAUGCUAAUAUUUAUAAUGACUGUUGUAAGAUGGUAAUUUAUCUUUUCUUUCAAACAUGGCAAGGAGGCUAGGGGGCUGGAUCACAAUGAGAUAGUCACAGACUGCCAGCUAUUGGAGCCAAUUUAAUAAGAUCACUGCAUGCUGUCACAAAAAUGGUGUUGGAUGAGAAGACUGGGUGACAAAGGGAAGAGGUUGUGACAAGUAUUGAGGAAAACAUGAUGUCCACUUGCAUCUGUGGCAUAAUAGUGGAGCAAUGAGCGGUGGUCCAAUCCUGAAUAUGUUGUGCCCAGAUUGCGUAGUCCCAAAGACCACCAGGAAGCCAAUCCCGAUGUAAGCACACGAGGGUCAUUUAUUCAAGCUCGAGCAGGGGCUCUCAACUGUCACCGACGCAGUGGGUCGAGAUUGAGAGCCCCAAAUUUCAAAUUAGCGGGACUUUUAUAGAGGUUACAGCAAGGUUUGGAGAUUUUCCACUUAGCAGUUACAUGAUUGGUUGACAAUUAGCAAGCAUGAAGUGUACAUUUCUGAUUGGCUAGGUGCAUCAGGGGUUGAGGGGUGGCUACAUGUAGGUUUUACAAGGGAAAAGAGGGACAAAGGUUAGUGGCCGACUGUCACGUACUGAUGGUCAGCAGACACACUGACUAAUAGUCACGACCAUUACGUGCUUACAGUCAGCACAUCUACAGAUUGUUCUAUAGAUAGAGGGCCCGGAACGUUCAUUUCCUGGGCAAACAGAUGGCUGAGUAAUUACCUCAGGAAUUUUGCUUCAUUACAGAUUGUAUCUUUUGUCCCAAAGUAAGCACAUUUUAACCAUUAAUUUGUGAGAGACUAGGGGAAUGGUGGAUUUUAGCAAAAUGGAGUCGCUUUGGUCUCACAAAUAUAUUUGAGGGUAAAAUAAAUACGACUUUCUGAGCUGAACUUGGGAGUGGGGAUGAGGCCAAAGGGACAGAGAAAAAGCCAGUAGCAAUUGAAAUAGACUUGCCAUUAACUGAGAGGAGAACACCUUCCAUCGGAUGUCCUUGCCUUUAGGAGCUGAGCUCUAUUGUAUUAGUUUUAAAAUAAGCAUAUUUAUGUAAAUAUAUUUGAAUAUCUAUGAUUGUCCCUAUAUUUCACAAGCUGUAAAACAUCCAAAAGGGGAAAUUCAAGGUUUGGAGAGAGUUUAGAUAUUUAAUUUAGGGUUAUUAGGCAGUAGUUGAGGAAAUUAGAAUUACCACACUGAAAGCUGUGGUAGAUUCAAAUUUGAGGGCUUGUUAUUUGGAAAAAGUAAACUAAUUAUUCAGAAGUGUUAAAACAGACUCAAAAAAAUGAGAAGAAAUUUGAGAUAGCAGAUUAUAUUUUAAAAUAAUGAAAAGAAAUUGAAGAAUAGGGGCUCUACAAUACUAAAACUGUUGGGUCUUUUUUUGUUAUUAGCUGUUCACGCUGAAUGUGAAAGGUUUUGUUUGGGGAAUAAUGAGAGAUAUUUGUCUCUUGGGAGAGAUAUGAGGUUCUUUGGAGUGUGUGUUUUUUUUGUGUGUGUGUUUUGUUUUGGCACCCAGGAUUGAACUUGGGUCCUUGCGCUUGCGCAGUAGGCGGCAAAACCACUGAACUAAAUCCCCAGCCCGAUAUGAGGUUCUUAAACACUAAACACCAUCAUUGCUAUUCACUGUUGUGUUCACAAGUCAUCAAUGCACCAUAAUAAAUUUUGUAACCAUCAAUGAAUAUAGAAAAUAGAACAAUUAUUUUGCACAAUAUUUUGUAACAAUAGGAUCUCUCAUUUGCAGACAUGAGUUGUAGUUUAAUCAAAUGAUUCAGGUUCAGUAAAGGCAUCUUUGUUUGAUUUUUAAUGAAUAUACAUAGCCAUUUUUUAGAAAUUUGCACAGGAGUAUGAUAAAUCUCACCCAAAUAGAAUAACUGCAGCAAUUCUUUUCCCAGGUGCUGUCCUGAAGAGGGUUACACCUUCUAGACACAGAAAUACCUGACAGAGCUCAUUUUGUUAUUUUUCUCCAGUCAGCAGUACUUAACAAUUUUGUUUAAAGAUAACUAUGAUCUGGAGAAUAUUGUACACUUUGUUCUCCAUUUUAAAAUGUGCAAAUAUGAUUUGCUAGUUUCUAGUUUUUGCAAUUAUUAACUUUUUCUUCAAUGAGAAAUGUAAUUACAGCUAAAUUCUGUAACACUUGUCAGGAAAUUUAAGAAUGCCUCCAGCAAUCUGAAACUACUUGAGCUGCAUUGAGCUAUUUUAGAAAAUAAAUUGAUACAAUUUUUGUGCAUUCCAGAGGUGUAUGACCUUAAGGGCAACUGGAAAUUUUAAGGGAGUACUUUGUUAUUCAGAAUGGAAGAGUACAUCAAAAAAUCAAUAGCUAAUAAUUACCAGUGAUGCUGUUUUGUUUUGUUUUAAUUACAUGAGUUUGUUAUAAAAUAUAUACAUAGAUUCAGAAAGUUGCUGGUUCCAUUAUUUUCAGGAUGAUAAUCAUUUCUUUUUGAGGACCUUGCUCUGUACCUAGUUUUCCUUCUUUAAAAAUCAGGACUAUAGUUGGCUGAUAAGGAAAGACUUUAGGCAUUUUUAUCAGUUUAUACGUUGGCAAGCCUGACUUUUGUGACAGGUAAAAGAGAUACCACCCUAAAUCCUGAUUCUCCUUGCACAAUUGGUUCAUCAUUUUGACAGGCAAAUCAACCCAAAAGGCAAGAAAUCUAUUUUUGGAUGUGGCAAGUUCCCUUAUUUCUUUUUCUUUUUCUUUCUUUCUUCCUUUUUUUUUUUUUUUUUUUUUGAUUGUGCAUAAAUUGUUAAAAAUGGUUGGAAACACAGACUAGAAACCUGUUUUAUGAUUUUGUACUAUUUGGGAAAGUCAGAAUAAUUCCUAUUACAUGGUGGGAAAUAAAGUGGGCCUAUUCCAUAUCAGAUUUCUCAUACAUGUCAAGCAUUCUCAGGAAAAACAAUUGUACAAUUAAGAUUUGAAAUCCUUUCCAGCAAAAAAAGCAAAAUCCUGAAGAAAAAUAGUGACUUAGUUAUUCAAAUUCUUCCUUAAAUAAAAAAUAUUUUUAAAAUAUAUUAAUUUGAAUAAGUUGUGUUAUCUCUCUGGACUCCAGUUUUCUCAUUUGUAAAAUAGAGAUAAUAAAAAUAGGCCCUAUCUAUGUUCCAGGGAAGAAGGUUUGAAUAGGAUACAUAACUUGGUGAUAGUCAUGAAAUCAGAAACUGUCUAAAUAGCCUUUAUGUCUAAUCUUUUAUGUCUUAACUCUUUACCUGUUUAUCAUAGUUGCAUAAUUGUAUUUUUAUUUUUAUAUCAUAUGGCCACUCUUCACUUAUUAGUUGAUAUUGUUUUGGGCAACACGUGAAUUUGUGGAUCUCUUCCUCCUUGAAAUGCUCAUUUCUCAUGGUUGGGUUCAGCAUCAUUCCCUCCUCUGAACUUUCCUCCUCCCCUAUUAUUGAUUGUUAUAAUGAAAGAUUCUCUUGUGAGAUGUUUACUUACUUUCUCUUAAUAUAUUAUUACUUGGCUAAUCUGUGAUUCCAUCCCUUUUUGGAUAUAAAAGCACAAUCACUACUUCUGUUCAGUUCUCUAAUCACAGUCCAUUUACUUCCCCUAAAUUCUAUAUAGACAGUAGUAUCCUAAAGAUUUCAAAUUGGCUCUCCCAGGCAUCUGGACUUAUUUUUUAUAGAAAACCUAUACUGUAACUACCUUCCCUGUAUCAAUGAUGAAUAUUAAUUUGUGCAAUCAAAUGUAGGAACUGGAGCAUUCCCAUUCCUAAAUCUUUCAUUACAACAAUUGUUUUGGUGAUUUGUUCCCUUUAGCACCUCAAAAUUAGUGCCUGUUUUAAGGACAAGGUAACAUGUAAGAGCAAUAGAAAUAUUUACAAUGGUAAUAGUUGACCCUUAUCAACACAAUGAGAUGAUAGUUUCUUGUUGUUUUCCAAAGCAAAAUGAAAUCCAGACUUUGACUUGGAAGAUGUUUGUUAACAGCUGGAAUAAUCAGUAACUCCGCAGAACCUGAGCCACACCAUCUGCUUUUCUUAGCUGUACAUACACCUUCUUUGUUUCUGAGCACAUUCUCAGAUGGGCCUCAUGACUAAACUUCUGCUUGCAAACAAGAAAGAUAAAAGCUUUUAGAGCUUGACCAGAAGGAGGUGAUAUAUGGAACCAAUCUUUGACCCAGGUCACUCAAGUCAAUUUUCUUUAUUAAUGAGAGUGUUACAGUCUAUGGAUCUCAAUACUUGUUAUUCAAAGAGAACUCUAAAGAACUUAUUCUGAAAAUGUGAAGAAAACUCACCCCUAAACACAAUUGCUACAAAACAGUGACUAGUAAAAUUAAUACUAUAUGAUUUUAUUUCAGGUAGCAGAAAUCAACUGAGAAUGGCUGCUGUGCUUUCAAUAUUAUGCAGCUGGUAUGUCAAGAGGGCAAAGAAGUAAUCUGCAAGUGAUACUAGCAAAGAUCAUCUAAUUGAUGAGAAGUUAAUUUUGAUGACUUACUCCAAAAAAGACUGUCCCCACUGCAGAGGACAGAAGAAAGGAACAUACCACAUGGGCAGAUGUGUAUCUUCUGUAAUAAAUACAUUCUAAGCACAUAAAAUCAGCCCAAAGAGAACAUCCCAAUGCUGCUGACAAAGAAAACUUUGGGGAUUAUGUAUAUCUCCUUUUCUUUUUUCUUUCUUUUCGUUAGGAUAAAUAUCUGUUAGGAAUUAAUGCAUUGGAAGAGGAAAAUAAGGUAAUCUGCCUACCAGUUCACCAGAUAUUCUUCUUCAAUAAGUCUUGUAUGCCAACUAUGGUUCCCCACUCAGAUUCCAGUUUGCAGCACUGGAAAGCAACAACAGCAGCAACACACUACUGGAAAGUUUAUUAGUAUACUCCAUUGUGAUUUGAGGAACUAUGCCUAAUUUAUCAUGAUAUUCUAAAAUCCAUCAUAAUACCUAAAAACAUUGGGUGUUUAAUGAAAUCUUUUUCAUCAAGACAGUAAUUAAAGAAUGGGAACCUAUUUUCAAAAAAAAUUCUAGCUUCUAUGCUAGUUAUAAAAUAGCACUAGUAAUCCAAAUAAGUAAGUGUUUGGAUUUAAUAAAUUCAGUCUGGAUCGAAUGUAACUAUAAUACUUACAUAUGAAUGAAAGAUCACCAUUGUGGUAGAUAUGCUAAAUACCACAGGCUGAUUGGUUAAAAAACAGAAUUCUAUACUUCUUAUCCUGGAGCCGGAAAAUCUGAGGCCCAAGUGCCAGCAGAAUCAGUUCCUGGACAAGGCUUUCUUCUUGGCUUGUAGGUGGUCAUCCUCUUGCUGUUUCCUCCCAUGGAGGAAAGAGAUAUCUGACAUCAUUUCUUCUUUUGAUAAGCCAUCAUGAUGGCUGCAUUGUCAUGAUCAUUUCUACACUUAAUGUCCUCUCAAUGACUGAUGCCCAAAUGGAAGCACACUAGGAAUCAGGCUACAACACAUGAAUUUUGGAGCAAACUUAAUUUCCUCUCUAGUACUCUCUAUAUUUAAAAUCUGCUUCAUAAACUUUCUGUCUGAAGACAUUUGUAUCUGUCUGCUAUAAGACUUUUACUUUAUAACCAUAUGAUCAAACAAAACUUAAAUAACAAAAAUAUAAGGUAUUCUAUGCUGGAUAAAAUUUUACAAUGUAUUCAAUUGUGAAGCAGGAAAGAAACGGAUGUGACAUUUUAAAUCCAAUAUAUACUAUGUUAAAGAAGCAUCAAAUCAUUUUUAAUAACAUACUCUCUUGCCAAAAAAGUAAAUAGUUUUAUCUCUUCUCUGAGAGUUCCACAUAAAGCAAAGUUGGUUAGAUAUCUUCAAAUAUGAUUUAAACCGUAAUUUUUGAUGUCAAUGAUAUUUGACAUGUUAAAUUGCAUAACAAUCAAAUCCAGCUUAUUUUUACAUUCAUGAGUAAUGACAUUUAUAGAAAAUAAAAGAAGUGACUAUUUUAUUGUAUUUUUUCCUUAGGUUUCAUAAAAAUUACUAGACAUCUGUAUCUACAUAAAACUGAGAAAUAUAGAUAUUUCAAAAUUUCAAAGGCUGAGACUUUAGUAUUCUUAUACCUCCAAAAUAUUCAUUUCAUCUCAGAUUGUAUACAUGCAAGAAAAGUGUGGCUUUGAAAAAAUGUAGGCAACCUACAUACAAAUAGAACUUCUAUAAAGAUUUAAAUUUUCCAUAAUCUUUAAUAUAUGUUCAGAGUGGUGUGAUUUUAAGUGUCAUUCAUACAUAGCUGUAUCUAGCAGUAGUUUUUUUUUGAAGAUUUGUAUUGUUACAUGUUUUAACUUGUUAAAAGAAUGUUUUUCUUCAAAAUCAAAUUAAAAUACGUUUGUAAGAGAUGAAUAUAACUGAAUUUCUAAUUCCUCAUAUGUUGUUUAGGUCACUUUGGAAAUAAAUAAUUGUCAUAUAGAUGCAGAAAAUAAAUUCAAAUCUGUGAUAAAUAAAUUAAAAAUAAAUUUAUCUGUAAUAAAGAGGAAUUUAAGUCAAUAAUUUGGCCCAAUGGCAGACUUUACAAUCUUUUCCACAAAAAGGGGAGAGAAGAUAUUUUGUUACUUUGGUAGUGAAUAUUAUUUUCUAUGCUUAAAACAAAAAUUAAUGUAAUAACUAAUAUCCUUAUUUUAAUUAUAAAUGUCAGGGUAAAAGACUUUUCUAAACAUCAUCCACAGAACAUGUGAAAGGAUAAAGUGUGAGUCAGACUUUUAUAUUUGUCUGACUAUAAUGUCAUUGCACUCUUUACCAUAUUGAUUUAAUGUGUUUGAUUCAAACAGGAUGGUGCAUGGCACAGCAUGUACUCCUGGGCACCCUGUUCAUUUCAGAGGACCCUACUGGUUCUCUGUGGAAGCACCUAAUUCCUAACCAACAGCCCAACAUCAGUCCUUAGUUAUACCAACUGUAGGAGAAAGAAACUAGUGCAAUGAAUAUACUCUUUCUGCUAUAUUACCUCUUUGUACUAAAUAUUAUAUUUCCUAAUAUUAACCACCAGGUUUUAAAAAGUUAUUUAUACUUCUUGGUUUCUUUUCUCAAGUUCAAAAAAUCUAUAAUUUGUACUAAAUUUGAGAUUCAAAUUCAUGGAUAUUAUGUUCUUAUCUCACUGGCUAAAGAUUAUCAAAUAAUUUACUGAAUUAUUAAUCUUCAUACGUGGCAAAUGGUGAGAUUUAUAUUUUAAAAACAUGAUUAAUAAACAUCUCGAUUUGUUUUAUAUUUCAUAACAAGGUGCAGUUGAUUCCUGCCACUCUUUAUGACAAAUGUAUAGUAACUUUCCUGGCAAAUCGGCAUCUUACUCAACAGGUGGUUAGUGGUCCAGAUUUCACACUUUUAAUGUAAGAAACUGGUUAAGCUGGUCUGUAUGAUUUUUGACUGUAUAAGGAAUAUUAAUUCUUAUUUAACUUAAUACAAGUUAGUAAUUACUGUCUCAAUAGCAGAAAAGUUAUAUUUUUUGUUUUGUUAUUAGAAUUUAGUACAAUGAUAUUGAAGUUUGGACAAUAUGAAUACAGCACAUGAAUUUGAAAAAGUAAUAUUACUAACCAUGUAAUACAUAAAAGUGGAACACAGUGAGGUCUUUUAAGAGCCUGACCUUUUUGAACUGGACUUGAAUGGUCCUAAUGUUCACAAGUUGCUGAUUUGGAGCCACACUGGGUUUAGCUCACAAAAGUGGUAUUUUGAAACAAAUUUGCCUUUAUACUCACAGUCAUACCCUUGGGAUAUGAAUCAUUUUCCAAGUAACAUUUCAACAUAAGGGAAGUGUUUAUCACAAGAUGAAAAACAAAAUAUUCAAUGAACACAAAGAUUCGGAGGACAUGCAUGAAAUCAUCAUUACAUUGCUAAUAGACAUGUUUUAUGGCUAUUCUUUUCUAUCAGUGCAAAAUAUAAAUAUAUAGAUGGGACUAAGUUAACAAAUGAGUAAGUUAAUUAUUUUAUUUCAGUUUAAGGCAAAUGAUGUAGCCAAACUGAUGAUUCAAAAAUGAAGAAAAUCAAAGAAUAAAAAACCCAAGUUGUGUAUGGUGCUGAGCAGAGAGAUUCCUAAUGAAUUUUUUGAGCUAUAUGAAGAUACAACUCCUAAAUUACAGGCUCUGCUUUUUGUCUAUCCUUAGUUGACUUGGCUAUUUUCUAAGUCAGUGCUCAAGGUCUUGUCAUAAAUAGAGUUAAACUUAGGCAACUAAAGUCUAAAGUUAGACAAUGCAAAAUUGUGGCAUUAUGGUAAAAUGCAAAUCACAUAGAGAAAAUGAGGAACUAGAAUAAUUUUGGUGGUUAUUUGUAUUUAUUUACUAAUGGGCUGAAAAAUAAAUGGAGAAUUCAUAGGCCUGUUUCUCUAAUUCUUGGGUCAACUAAAUAUUUUGCAAAUGGCAGAACCUCUAACAAUCUCAAAAUGUUCAUGUACAAGUUGAAAUUGAGCCAAUAAUCCCUAAGAUUCUAUCUAGUGCAAAAUUUUAUAAAGUUUUUCAAUUUUCAAAUAAUUCUUUGGAUUGAACUGAUGUUGAUUUUAAGGAUGUAUACAUGUUAUGGAAAUCUUCCCAAAAGAGUUGUAGACAUCAUAGCACAUUGAUAUAUGCAUAUCCAUGUUUACAGUGGCACAAUUCAUAAUAGCUAAAUCUCAGAAACAGCCUAAAUGUCCAUUAACGGAUGGAUAAAGAAAAUGUUGUGUUUAUACACAAUGAAGUACUACUCUGCCAAAAAGAAGAUAAAAUUGAGUCAUUUAUAGGUAAAUGUAUGCAACUCAAGAACAUAAUGCUAAGUGAAGUAAAUCAGAUGCCCGAACUUAGAUAUCACAUGGUCUCCCUUAUAUGAGAAUCUCAAUACAUAAAUAAAGUGCAAAGUGAGGAAUGGACAGUAGAAAAUAGUGAGCUGGAUCUGUGGUAUAUGAGAAGGAAACAGAAAGACAGUAUUUUGGGGACACUAAUUUUUAAAAAGGGAGAGGGGUUUGUGAAGAGCCGUGAGCAUGCACCAAGUCCCUUCAAGGGGAGGGAUCAUCAAAUAAUAUAUUUAUAUAUAUAUAUUAUAUAUAAAACAUAUAUUAUAUAUAAUAUAUUUAUAUAUAUUAUAUACAUAACAUAUAUAAUAUAUAUAUAACAUAUAUAUAUGUUACAUAUAUGUUCCAAGAGGUCCAGGGAGAGGGAGGGAAGCAAGGGAGAGGGUUAAAAAAGAAAUUAAGAAAUUUCAUAAAGGGCAGGGGAUUUAGCUCGGUGGUUCGGCUGCCUGCACUGCAAGCUCAAGGGUCUGAGUUUGAUCUCUGGUACCACAAAAAAGAAAAAAAGGAAAUUUUGUAAAUAUCAUGUAUGUGUACUACCUCCCCAUGAUGAAUGUAAUCAUGAUGUACUACAAAUAUAUACCAAGAAAAUUUUCUUUAAUUAGAGAAAGAAAGAAAAUCCUCACAAAAAAUGUUGAGGGAUCUCUGAAAUUAUAAACUAUGAGAUAAGCAGUAAUAUCUCUGUCUCCUUUAUUUAGAUAUUACUAAAAGGAAAAAAAGGUCAACACUAAGUUACAUUGUCCAGAAAGAAUGUUUUAAAUCUGAAAUGAUUUGAAAUCUUAAAUAGUCUAGAGAGAUGGACUAGAAAUAAACAAAAGAAAUGACUGAUUAUGAAAAAAACCCUAAUCUUGGGUCCAAAUAUCUUUUUAACUUAAAAUUUUACACAAAAAUUAUAUAUUGUUCUGGGGUGGAGAAAAGGAUCUCUUAAAAAAUUUUAUUAUUGGAGUAGAAAUAUUAAAAUGAAUACCAAUUUCUAAGUAUUUUUUGAAAGUGGACACAUGAUUACAUAUUUGGUGUGCAUUAGCUAUAUGUAUUUUGACUUCUUCAGUAAAGCAAUGUUUACAGGAAGUCUAGUUUGGACAUAUUUUUGAUAUAAUAUAUAUCAUAAAAUUGUUCUUUUAAAUAUCGGUACAUUUUAAAAAAUGUCAACGCCAGCUUUAUUAGCUGUUCUCUAUGAAAUAAUAUUCAAAUAUUUCAAGAAAAUAAGUUUAAACCCCCACCCGAUUCAGUAAAAUAAAGUUAAAUAUGAUAAGAACAGGUGUUUCAUUAGAAAUUUAGCCAGUGGUGCAUCUUAAGAUUCCCAAUGGCAAAAAUACACUGUCACAUAUUGACCCAUUGGUCAGUCCACGUUAUGCUAAGUUGUACUUGUUCCUGAACACAAUUCUUGCUCUUAUAUUAAGUAGGGAUGAAAAAAGAUUAUUUCUCUCGGUUUCUUUCCAAUAGGUAGAAUCCCAGAUACUAUUACAUUAGUGCCAUUUUACAGAGCCCGAAAAUUUGUACAGUGGAAUGCAUGACCCUCUUCUACAGCUAAGAUUGAAUUCUGAGUAUGUUUGGCAUUCUUUUUGAGCUGGACUUAACUGAACUGAGAAACUGGGUGAUGUGAUCACAGUAUCUCAGGGAUCUCUAAAAUAUACUGUAACUUAUUCAAAGCUAGGUUGAGUUUUCAUUUCUUCAUAACAUUCUCCACAUUUCACUGUGAACAUUUUCUUUGAUGGCUACACAUACGGAACAAUCUCUUUAUCUUUAAUAUAUGAGAGAUAUUUGAACAUUAAUGAUUUAUUGAAAAAUUAUAACCAUCAAUAAAUAUUAAAACCCAAUUGUAUGAAGAUUUUUGCAAGUGAUAUAGUCAGCUUCACCUGUCAGAUGAAGUCAAUGGGGCUAUAGUUAGGUGGCUUGAGGUCACAAGGUAGUAAGGCAGGGCUUGUAAAGUCAAAGCAGUCAGACUAGUGUGUUUCAUUGAUUUGAAUGCUAUAUUUCAGAUUGAAUUGAAAAUUUUAAACUUUUGUUCUCAUGCUUUUCCUUAUCAUUAUAAGUAUAUGCUUCAGGAUUUAAGGUGUGUUUUAUGUGCCUUGCACAAGAUUUUGAUCAACAGUGGACAACCUCUUAGCUACAUGUGCAUCAAUCCCCUCAGUGCUACAUAUAGGACAGCUCCAUUUUACUGCAUUAGCCAAAAUAUGUCUAAAAUUUUACAGUGAUCAAACCAUGGAAGUCUUUCCAUUUUUUUUUGUCUUAUCAGAUCCUUCCACUGCUUACUUUGACUAUGAAAAAAUGACAAGUUGGAGGAUGGUCUUGCUAUCCAGGGAUUCAAAUGUACUAUGUAUUUGAAGAGGCAAGAGUAGAGGUAAAUGAGAGAAAUAAAAAAAAAUAUUGGAAUAGUAUGGAAUAUGCUCCAGAAGAGUUUCUAUACCAAGUUACUCCACCUUUCCCCAUCACACUCUUGUCUUGUGUUUCUCAGAAGCAUUUAAUACUUCUGCCCAAGUUCUCCCAUAAGUUAUCAUAGCAUACUUAACCUCUGAGUUCAAAAGCUGCAGCCGAUGUUGCUCAGGAUGUGUUCUGCUUGUUCAAACAGUAUUUCCAUCCCCAUACUUGGAAAUACUUAGAGUCACACAGCUGUCUAUGUUUCUUGGCCUAUGAACCACCUUCCUAAAAUGAGUAUAUAAAUAAAAUUCUCAGGUGAGAUAAGUUAAUUAAACUAAACUAGAAUAGCCCAUCUCUUUCUGGCACCUUUAGUCAAGUAAACUGUCUAGAAGCAUCUGCCCAGUCCUGAUUGACCCAUCUGGAAAGAAUAGUUCUUGUUCUGUCACAGAGGUCUAAAAAAGAGACACAGGAAUGGGUAUUACAAACCUUCAGAUGUACCAACUGGCAUCAUUCUAUCGUAGGUAGGACUGCAGUUCCUCCCAUUUACCUUAUGAAUAAAAAAUGCAUAAUUUUAUUAUACUAAUUAAAAAAUGGUUUGCAGCUAAACCCAUUUCUGUAGAAAAUAUUACGCUGGAGGUGGUUCUUAAUGCUACCUUAUUGGUUAGGUCUAGUUUUUCUCUCUUUUAAGGUUUUCAAAGAACCCUGUGUAUGUGGUAAUUAUAUCCUUCACCAAAACUGUUGAAAUAAUGAACUGAUCUGAAUUUCUCUUAUUUGUAAAGGCUGUGUUAUAUUGAGGACUAGGUUUUAACACCAAGCCCCGCUCUGCUUGUCACAAAUCAGACCCCCUCAAACCACUAAGCUAUUUUUGAAAGGAAUUUAAAAAGAGUCAGUGUUAUAAAGUUUUGAUGUGGCUACUAUUUCUGAACAGUAUUUCCAAAAUCUGUGAUUAUUCUCUACUUCAGAGAGAAAAGGUCUACAUACAACCUUCAAAUUCUCUAAUGUUCAAAGGGGCAGACAGCGAGCUUCCUGCGUGAGCUAGUCCUUGAGUCGGCGUCCUGUGUUGGGCACAUCCAGACAUUUCCAUUCCAGUUCUGAUUGGGACAUGCCACCACGAAUGUUCAAUUAUUCCAGCAAUCUCAGUCUUGUUCUCCAGUUUGUCUUCUCUCCAGCUUGCUAAAUUCAGUACACUACAUUCUAAAAUUGAUUAUCAACAAUACAGGCAUAACUUUAUCUACAAGAGAUCUUUGUAUACCCUGUUCUCUGUCCUCUGAAAUUUUGCUCCAUUCUCCCACAUUUUUAUUGUCAUUGUUAAUGUCACUCAUUCUGGAAAUAUAAGAGAAAUUUUGUUAAGUAUGUAAUGUGUUCCAUGAGACUUUGUAUACCUCAGAUGUUUUUCUUUUUUUUGGAAGAAAAGGAGGCUUUUCAAUGAAGAUAUCGUCAUUGUAUUUUAAAGUGAAGUCUUUGACUGAAAUGGCAUGGAAGAGAUGCCUCCCUCAGCAAUAGUUUAGUCAAAUAAGCUGGGCCCAAGAAAAAAUAAUUAUUGGAUAAAGGAAAGUCACUAUAAAAUUAAUCUUUAAUGUGGAAACUAACUAAAAUUUUUUUCAUUAGCUCUGCUACUUUAAGUGUGUAGCAGUGAUGUAAUACAUGCAUACUUCUAUUGCCUUUUGCAAUUUAGCAAUAGAUAUACUGUGAAAGAUUGUCACAGAGUCCAAGGGGGCCCUCUGAACCCUUUCUAGUCAGACUUCCCUACUCAGCACCUUUCCAGUUUGUUAGAGUCCCAGCUCUUCUAGAACUGUGCAUGAUUACAAUAUUAAGUACAAUCAUAAUAUGGCUUUUAAUUUGUUUCAACUUAUUCAUUGCUUUCUGAGUAGCCCUCUUAUUAUCCCAAUGUCUAUGGCAUAUCCAUCAUCUAAGCCUACUGGAGCAUCAAUUUUAGACAGAAUAAACAUGCCUGAAAUUUUUAAAGUUUUUAAAGACAACAAUGUUUCUCAGGCUUAAAUUUAGAAAGAACUCUUUAUGGUUGCUAAUAUUUCAGGUACUAUGCAGACUGAAGCAGUCAUCAAAGCAAGCUAUGCAACUGCUAACAUAGGACAAGUAUGACUUAUGGAACUCAAUAAAAUUAUCCAACAGCUAUCAAUCAAACAGCUAGCAUCUCACUGACAUUUUGUUGAUCUCGGGCAAUGACAGCUGCCACUGUCUUGGACACCUUCACUUGUUUGGACCAAUCACAGUUUUUCAUCUUGUUUGCUGAAGGCAGAGGUAUUCUCAUAAUCUGAAGAUCUUCUUUAAAGAAACCUGCAUAAAUCUCUCCUAUGGUACAAUAAGGAUGGAAGAAAUGACACUUCCUCCAAUGAACUGCUUGUACCGUUGAUCCCAUUGUGAUACCUGCUUAGAACAAGCAACCACCACAAUUGUGUAUAUCUUCAACAAAAUGCUGAAAAGAAACACUUUCUUGUCUUUCAAUUGAAUAUUUUUAUUUCAUAUAAUGCUAGUAGAGAACAAAUAAACCUAUACUAUUGAUUUAUUUAUCAUGAAAUAUUUCAUUAUAUACAUUGUGAUGUGUUAUGUGUUUUUUUCUUUAAUUAGAAAACUAAUAUUAUUACUUCUUAAGUUUAGAAAUACUACCUUAGAAAUUUAUGCUUCAAGAUUCUGGAUUUAUGUACAAAAUACCCUAAAAAGGAACUAUAUUCCUGAGAUGUUCACAAACAAUG